UACGUAGGGGGCAAGCGUUGUCCGGAAUCAUUGGGCGUAAAGCGCGUGUAGGCGGUUCAGUAAGUCUGCUGUGAAAGUCCAGGGCUCAACCCUGGGAUGCCGGUGGAUACUGCUGGGCUAGAGUGCGGAAGAGGCGAGUGGAAUUCCCGGUGUAGCGGUGAAAUGCGCAGAUAUCGGGAGGAACACCGAUGGCGAAGGCAGCUCGCUGGGACGGUACUGACGCUGAGGCGCGAAAGCGUGGGGAGCGAACAGG
Molecule: ribosomal RNA, 253 nt
Filed under: uncultured bacterium
Lineage: Bacteria
Description: partial 16S ribosomal RNA
Rfam family: Bacterial small subunit ribosomal RNA
Source: RNAcentral